This 896-nucleotide ribosomal RNA is filed under the name uncultured Prevotella sp. Its description in RNAcentral is "partial 16S ribosomal RNA". The stretch from base 2 to 495 matches the Rfam family "Bacterial small subunit ribosomal RNA", at positions 29 to 544 of the family's 1533-position model. Lineage: Bacteria; Pseudomonadati; Bacteroidota; Bacteroidia; Bacteroidales; Prevotellaceae. The record is from RNAcentral.
GACGAACGCUGGCGGCGUGCUUAACACAUGCAAGUCGAACGCUGAAGCCCAGCUUGCUGGGUGGAUGAGUGGCGAACGGGUGAGUAACACGUGAGUAACCUGCCCCCUUCUUUGGGAUAACGCCCGGAAACGGGUGCUAAUACUGGAUAUUCACUGGCCUUCGCAUGGGGGUUGGUGGAAAGGUUUUUUCUGGUGGGGGAUGGGCUCGCGGCCUAUCAGCUUGUUGGUGGGGUGAUGGCCUACCAAGGCUUUGACGGGUAGCCGGCCUGAGAGGGUGACCGGUCACAUUGGGACUGAGAUACGGCCCAGACUCCUACGGGAGGCAGCAGUGGGGAAUAUUGCACAAUGGGCGAAAGCCUGGUGCAGCGACGCCGCGUGAGGGAUGACGGCCUUCUGGUUGUAAACCUCUUUCGCUCAUGGUCAAGCCGCAGCUUUGGGUUGUGGUGAGGGUUUGGGGUAAUAAGCGUGUGCUAUCUAUGUUUCGGUGGGCUUUGUUGUCUUUGGUUGCGAUCUUUACGUGAUGUUGGGUGUGUGUGGUGUUUUUUCAUGUUCACACUCCUACUUUUGUAUUCUACUGUUUGAAUUUGGUGUGUUCUGCGUGCUUGUAGCUGAUUUGAUUCGUGGGGUGAUGCUUGUUAGUCGUUGUAUUAUGUAUGAAUACACCAUACUGUGAUGAACUUAUGUGUUGUUGUGUUUUUUGUGUGUUGUUGUUGGCUUGUCUUUUUUCUAUUGUGUUAUAUUACUACAUGUGUCUAGUGUGUCUGUGUGUUUGUGUUUGCGGUGUGUGUGUUGUGUUUUCUCUGCUUCCAAAAAAUAAAAAAUGACUAUAUGAUUAUAAUUGACAUACUUUUUUUGUGCUGUGUUGCUUCCUGUAGUGUCUCUGUGAUAUUUGUCUU